RNAcentral lists this ribosomal RNA (398 nucleotides) under uncultured bacterium. RNAcentral's name for it is "bacterial SSU rRNA". It matches the Rfam family "Bacterial small subunit ribosomal RNA", at positions 212 to 607 of the family's 1533-position model. The record is from RNAcentral.
AUUUCGGUUGUCGAUGGGGAUGCGUUCCAUUAGGCAGUUGGCGGGGUAACGGCCCACCAAACCUACGAUGGAUAGGGGUUCUGAGAGGAAGGUCCCCCACAUUGGAACUGAGACACGGUCCAAACUCCUACGGGAGGCAGCAGUGAGGAAUAUUGGUCAAUGGACGAGAGUCUGAACCAGCCAAGUAGCGUGAAGGAUGACUGCCCUAUGGGUUGUAAACUUCUUUUAUACGGGAAUAAAGUGAGCCACGUGUGGCUUUUUGUAUGUACCGUAUGAAUAAGGAUCGGCUAACUCCGUGCCAGCAGCCGCGGUAAUACGGAGGAUUCGAGCGUUAUCCGGAUUUAUUGGGUUUAAAGGGAGCGUAGGCGGGUUGUUAAGUCAGUUGUGAAAGUUUGCGG